RNAcentral lists this ribosomal RNA (292 nucleotides) under uncultured bacterium. RNAcentral describes it as "partial 16S ribosomal RNA". It matches the Rfam family "Bacterial small subunit ribosomal RNA", at positions 505 to 796 of the family's 1533-position model. The record is from RNAcentral.
GUGCCAGCAGCCGCGGUAAUACGUAGGGUCCAAACGUUAUCCGGAAUUAUUGGGCGUAAAGAGUUCGUAGGUGGUAUUGUAAGUUGGGUAUGAAAGCCCUCGGCUCAACCGAGGAACUGUACCCAAAACUGCAUUACUUGUGGUUUGCAGGGGCAGAUGGAAUUCAUAGUGUAGCAGUGGAAUGCGUAGAUAUUAUGAAGAACACCAAUGGCGAAGGCAGUCUGCUAGGCUCAUCCAGACACUGAGGAACGAAAGCGUGGGUAGCGAACGGGAUUAGAUACCCUUGUAGUCC